This 1286-nucleotide ribosomal RNA is filed under the name metagenome. RNAcentral describes it as "bacterial SSU rRNA". It matches the Rfam family "Bacterial small subunit ribosomal RNA", at positions 242 to 1520 of the family's 1533-position model. The record is from RNAcentral.
UAGCUAGUUGGUGAGGUAAAGGCUUACCAAGGCGACGAUCUGUAGCGGGUCUGAGAGGAUGAUCCGCCACACUGGAACUGAGACACGGUCCAGACUCCUACGGGAGGCAGCAGUGGGGAAUUUGGACAAUGGGGGCAACCCUGAUCCAGCCAUGCCGCGUGAGUGAAGAAGGCCUUCGGGUUGUAAAGCUCUUUCGGCCGGGAAGAAAUCGCAUGGGCCAAUACCCUGUGUGGAUGACGGUACCGGAAUAAGAAGCACCGGCUAACUACGUGCCAGCAGCCGCGGUAAUACGUAGGGUGCGAGCGUUAAUCGGAAUUACUGGGCGUAAAGCGUGCGCAGGCGGUUUUGUAAGACAGGCGUGAAAUCCCCGGGCUUAACCUGGGAACUGCGUUUGUGACUGCAAGGCUAGAGUACGGCAGAGGGGGGUGGAAUUCCACGUGUAGCAGUGAAAUGCGUAGAGAUGUGGAGGAACACCAAUGGCGAAGGCAGCCCCCUGGGUCGAUACUGACGCUCAUGCACGAAAGCGUGGGUAGCAAACAGGAUUAGAUACCCUAGUAGUCCACGCCCUAAACUAUGUCAACUAGGUGUUGGGUGGGUAAAACCAUUUAGUACCGUAGCUAACGCGUGAAGUUGACCGCCUGGGGAGUACGGCCGCAAGGUUAAAACUCAAAGGAAUUGACGGGGACCCGCACAAGCGGUGGAUGAUGUGGAUUAAUUCGAUGCAACGCGAAAAACCUUACCUACCCUUGACAUGCCAGGAACUUGCCAGAGAUGGCUUGGUGCCCGAAAGGGAGCCUGGACACAGGUGCUGCAUGGCUGUCGUCAGCUCGUGUCGUGAGAUGUUGGGUUAAGUCCCGCAACGAGCGCAACCCUUGUCGUUAAUUGCCAUCAUUUAGUUGGGCACUUUAACGAGACUGCCGGUGACAAACCGGAGGAAGGUGGGGAUGACGUCAAGUCCUCAUGGCCCUUAUGGGUAGGGCUUCACACGUCAUACAAUGGUCGGUACAAAGGGUUGCCAAGCCGCGAGGCGGAGCCAAUCCCAGAGAGCCGAUCGUAGUCCGGAUUGCAGGCUGCAACUCGCCUGCAUGAAGUCGGAAUCGCUAGUAAUCGUGGAUCAGCAUGUCACGGUGAAUACGUUCCCGGGUCUUGUACACACCGCCCGUCACACCAUGGGAGCGGGUUCCGCCAGAAGUAGGUAGCCUAACCGCAAGGGGGGCGCUUACCACGGCGGGGUUCGUGACUGGGGUGAAGUCGUAACAAGGUAGCCGUAGGGGAACCUGCGGCUG